RNAcentral lists this transfer RNA (68 nucleotides) under Pseudothecadactylus lindneri. RNAcentral describes it as "tRNA-Tyr". It matches the Rfam family "tRNA". From Rfam's summary of the family: Transfer RNA (tRNA) molecules are approximately 80 nucleotides in length. Their secondary structure includes four short double-helical elements and three loops (D, anti-codon, and T loops). The record is from RNAcentral. Lineage: Eukaryota; Metazoa; Chordata; Lepidosauria; Squamata; Diplodactylidae.
AGGUAGAAUGGCCGAAAAUAGGCGGCAGGCUGUAAUCCUGUUAAUGUAGGUUUGAUUCCUAUUUCUGU